This 252-nucleotide ribosomal RNA is filed under the name uncultured bacterium. Its description in RNAcentral is "partial 16S ribosomal RNA". It matches the Rfam family "Bacterial small subunit ribosomal RNA", at positions 524 to 776 of the family's 1533-position model. The record is from RNAcentral.
GACAGAGGGUGCAAACGUUGUUCGGAAUUACUGGGCGUAAAGCGCGUGUAGGCUGCUCUGUGUGUCGGAUGUGAAAGCCCCGGGCUCAACCUGGGAAGUGCACUCGAAACUACAGAGCUGGAGUCUCGGAGAGGAUCGCGGAAUUCUCGGUGUAGAGGUGAAAUUCGUAGAUAUCGAGAGGAACACCGGUGCGAAGGCGGCGAUCUGGACGAUGACUGACGCUGAGGCGCGAAAGCGUGGGGAGCAAACAGG